RNAcentral lists this ribosomal RNA (434 nucleotides) under uncultured Kluyvera sp. RNAcentral's name for it is "bacterial SSU rRNA". It matches the Rfam family "Bacterial small subunit ribosomal RNA", at positions 958 to 1392 of the family's 1533-position model. The record is from RNAcentral. Lineage: Bacteria; Pseudomonadati; Pseudomonadota; Gammaproteobacteria; Enterobacterales; Enterobacteriaceae.
AACGCGAAGAACCUUACCUACUCUUGACAUCCAGAGAACUUAGCAGAGAUGCUUUGGUGCCUUCGGGAACUCUGAGACAGGUGCUGCAUGGCUGUCGUCAGCUCGUGUUGUGAAAUGUUGGGUUAAGUCCCGCAACGAGCGCAACCCUUAUCCUUUGUUGCCAGCGGUUCGGCCGGGAACUCAAAGGAGACUGCCAGUGAUAAACUGGAGGAAGGUGGGGAUGACGUCAAGUCAUCAUGGCCCUUACGAGUAGGGCUACACACGUGCUACAAUGGCAUAUACAAAGAGAAGCGACCUCGCGAGAGCAAGCGGACCUCAUAGAGUAUGUCGUAGUCCGGAUUGGAGUCUGCAACUCGACUCCAUGAAGUCGGAAUCGCUAGUAAUCGUAGAUCAGAAUGCUACGGUGAAUACGUUCCCGGGUCUUGUACACACCG